CAGACGACGCUGGCGGCGUGCCUAACACAUGCAAGUCGAGCGCGAAUGGGAGCAAUACCCUAGUAGAGCGGCGCACGGGUGCGUAACACGUGGGUAAUCUCCUGAAGCCCGGGACAACCUUCCGAAAGGAUGGCUAAUACCGGAUAAGCCUACGGGAUCCUCGGAUCCUGAAGGAAAAGGUGGCCUCUGUAUACAAGCUAUCACUCCAGAUGAGCCGCGGCCCAUCAGCUAGUUGGCGGGGGUACAGGCCCACCAAGGCAACGACGGGUAGCUGGUCUGAGAGGACGAUCAGCCACACUGGAACUGAGACACGGUCCAGACUCCUACGGGAGGCAGCAGUGGGGAAUUUUGCGCAAUGGCGAAAGCCUGACGCAGCAACGCCGCGUGUGUGAUGAAGGUCUUCGGAUUGUAAAGCACUUUCGACCGGGACGAAAACCCUCAACCUAACAUGUUGAGGCUUGACGGUACCGGGAGAAGAAGCACCGGCUAACUCUGUGCCAGCAGCCGCGGUAA
This 513-nucleotide ribosomal RNA is filed under the name uncultured delta proteobacterium. Its description in RNAcentral is "bacterial SSU rRNA". It matches the Rfam family "Bacterial small subunit ribosomal RNA", at positions 33 to 523 of the family's 1533-position model. The record is from RNAcentral. Lineage: Bacteria; Deltaproteobacteria.